GACGAACGCUGGCGGCGUGCUUAACACAUGCAAGUCGAACGAUGAAGCCCAGCUUGCUGGGUGGAAGAGUGGCGAACGGGUGAGUAACACGUGAGUAACCUGCCCUUGACUCUGGGAUAAGCGCUGGAAACGGCGUCUAAUACUGGAUACGACCUAUCACCGCAUGGUGUGUGGGUGGAAAGAUUUAUCGGUUUUGGAUGGACUCGCGGCCUAUCAGCUUGUUGGUGAGGGAAUGGCUCACCAAUGCGACGACGGGUAGCCGGCCUGAGAGGGUGACCGGCCACACUGGGACUGAGACACGGCCCAGACUCCUACGGGAGGCAGCAGUGGGGAAUAUUGCACAAUGGGCGCAAGCCUGAUGCAGCAACGCCGCGUGAGGGAUGACUGCCUUCGGGUUGUAAACCUCUUUUAGUAGGGAAGAAGCGAAAGUGACGGUACCUGCAGAAAAAGCACCGGCUAACUACGUGCCAGCAGCCGCCGUAA
Molecule: ribosomal RNA, 483 nt
Filed under: uncultured bacterium
Lineage: Bacteria
Description: partial 16S ribosomal RNA
Rfam family: Bacterial small subunit ribosomal RNA
Source: RNAcentral